This 465-nucleotide ribosomal RNA is filed under the name uncultured bacterium. Its description in RNAcentral is "partial 16S ribosomal RNA". It matches the Rfam family "Bacterial small subunit ribosomal RNA", at positions 339 to 795 of the family's 1533-position model. The record is from RNAcentral.
CUAUGGGCGGCUCCAGUGGGGAAUAUUGGACAAUGGGGGAAACCCUGAUCCAGCAAUGCCGCGUGUGUGAAGAAGGCCUGCGGGUUGUAAAGCACUUUCGGUUGGGAGGACUGCUUCUAGCACUAAUAUUGUUGGAAGUUGACGUUACCUUCAGAAGAAGCACCGGCUAACUCCGUGCCAGCAGCCGCUGUAAUACGGAGGGUGCAAGCGUUAAUCGGAAUUACUGGGCGUAAAGCGCGCGUAGGCGGCUAGAUCAGUCGGGUGUGAAAGCCCCGGGCUUAACCUGGGAACUGCAUCCGAUACUGUCUAGCUUGAGUACAGGAGAGGAGAGUGGAAUUCCACAUGUAGCGGUGAAAUGCGUAGAUAUGUGGAGGAGCACCAAUGGCGAAGGCAGCUCUCUGGCCUGAUACUGACGCUGAGGUGCGAAAGCGUGGGGAGCAAACAGGAUUAGAUACCCCUGUAGUC